This 260-nucleotide long non-coding RNA is filed under the name Sorghum bicolor (sorghum). RNAcentral's name for it is "long non-coding RNA (SBIC_LNC015636)". Lineage: Eukaryota; Viridiplantae; Streptophyta; Magnoliopsida; Poales; Poaceae. The record is from RNAcentral.
CCUCAUAUACGUCCAGUUUGAAGAAUUGCACCACUUAUCUCACCUCGACGCUCUCGACAAAUCUCUUGUCAGCUGCUUUUUUCUGUAAGUAUUUCUUUCUUUUUAUUAAACUUCUACCUUCUUUAAUUAUAUGUAUAUAAUCCUUACACACUUAGAAUUUGUAUGUAUAUAUGCAGCCACCAAAUGAGAGAGCUCAGAAACAAAAAUGACAAUAGUAUUGGGUUCGUUGACUCUUAUAUUGUUUUCAAGGCUCCGCAGGC